GACGAACGCUGGCGGCGUGCUUAACACAUGCAAGUCGAACGGAAAGGCCCUGCUUUUGUGGGGUGCUCGAGUGGCGAACGGGUGAGUAACACGUGAGUAACCUGCCCUUGACUUUGGGAUAACUUCAGGAAACUGGGGCUAAUACCGGAUAGGAGCUCCUGCUGCAUGGUGGGGGUUGGAAAGUUUCGGCGGUUGGGGAUGGACUCGCGGCUUAUCAGCUUGUUGGUGGGGUAGUGGCUUACCAAGGCUUUGACGGGUAGCCGGCCUGAGAGGGUGACCGGCCACAUUGGGACUGAGAUACGGCCCAGACUCCUACGGGAGGCAGCAGUGGGGAAUAUUGCACAAUGGGCGGAAGCCUGAUGCAGCAACGCCGCGUGCGGGAUGACGGCCUUCGGGUUGUAAACCGCUUUCGCCUGUGACGAAGCGUGAGUGACGGUAAUGGGUAAAGAAGCACCGGCUAACUACGUGCCAGCAGCCGCGGUGAUACGUAGGGUGCGAGCGUUGUCCGGAUUUAUUGGGCGUAAAGGGCUCGUAGGUGGUUGAUCGCGUCGGAAGUGUAAUCUUGGGGCUUAACCCUGAGCGUGCUUUCGAUACGGGUUGACUUGAGGAAGGUAGGGGAGAAUGGAAUUCCUGGUGGAGCGGUGGAAUGCUCAGAUAUCAGGAGGAACACCAGUGGCGAAGGCGGUUCUCUGGGCCUUUCCUGACGCUGAGGAGCGAAAGCGUGGGGAGCGAACAGGCUUAGAUACCCUGUAGUCCACGCUGUAAACGGUGGGUACUAGGUGUGGGGUCCAUUCCACGGGUUCCGCGCCGUAGCUAACGCUUUAAGUACCCCGCCUGGGGAGUACGGCCGCAAGGCUAAAACUCAAAGGAAUUGACGGGGCCCCGCACAAGCGGCGGAGCAUGCGGAUUAAUUCGAUGCAACGCGUAGAACCUUACCUGGGUUUGACAUGGAUCGGGAGUGCUCAGAGAUGGGUGUGCCUCUUUUGGGGUCGGUUCACAGGUGGUGCAUGGCUGUCGUCAGCUCGUGUCGUGAGAUGUUGGGUUAAGUCCCGCAACGAGCGCAACCCUUGUUCACUGUUGCCAGCACGUUAUGGUGGGGACUCAGUGGAGACCGCCGGGGUCAACUCGGAGGAAGGUGGGGAUGACGUCAAGUCAUCAUGCCCCUUAUGUCCAGGGCUUCACGCAUGCUACAAUGGCUGGUACAGAGAGUGGCGAGCCUGUGAGGGUGAGCGAAUCUCGGAAAGCCGGUCUCAGUUCGGAUUGGGGUCUGCAACUCGACCUCAUGAAGUCGGAGUCGCUAGUAAUCGCAGAUCAGCAACGCUGCGGUGAAUACGUUCCCGGGGCU
RNAcentral lists this ribosomal RNA (1345 nucleotides) under uncultured bacterium. Its description in RNAcentral is "partial 16S ribosomal RNA". It matches the Rfam family "Bacterial small subunit ribosomal RNA", at positions 28 to 1381 of the family's 1533-position model. The record is from RNAcentral.